ACUCCGUGCCAGCAGCCGCGGUAAUACGGAGGGUGCGAGCGUUAAUCGGAAUUACUGGGCGUAAAGCGUGCGCAGGCGGUUUGUUAAGCGAGAUGUGAAAGCCCCGGGCUCAACCUGGGAACCGCAUUUCGAACUGGCAAACUAGAGUCUUGUAGAGGGGGGUAGAAUUCCAGGUGUAGCGGUGAAAUGCGUAGAGAUCUGGAGGAAUACCGGUGGCGAAGGCGGCCCCCUGGACAAAGACUGACGCUCAGGCACGAAAGCGUGGGGAGCAAACAGGAUUAGAUACCCUGGUAGUCCACGCCGUAAUCGAUGUCUACUCGGAGUUUGGUGUCUUGAACACUG
RNAcentral lists this ribosomal RNA (342 nucleotides) under Shewanella algae. Its description in RNAcentral is "bacterial SSU rRNA". It matches the Rfam family "Bacterial small subunit ribosomal RNA", at positions 500 to 841 of the family's 1533-position model. Lineage: Bacteria; Pseudomonadati; Pseudomonadota; Gammaproteobacteria; Alteromonadales; Shewanellaceae. The record is from RNAcentral.